Molecule: ribosomal RNA, 200 nt
Filed under: Salmonella enterica subsp. enterica serovar Kentucky
Lineage: Bacteria; Pseudomonadati; Pseudomonadota; Gammaproteobacteria; Enterobacterales; Enterobacteriaceae
Also listed under: 1 other name
Description: partial 16S ribosomal RNA
Rfam family: Bacterial small subunit ribosomal RNA
Source: RNAcentral
UUAAAUUGAAGAGUUUGAUCAUGGCUCAGAUUGAACGCUGGCGGCAGGCCUAACACAUGCAAGUCGAACGGUAACAGGAAGCAGCUUGCUGCUUCGCUGACGAGUGGCGGACGGGUGAGUAAUGUCUGGGAAACUGCCUGAUGGAGGGGGAUAACUACUGGAAACGGUGGCUAAUACCGCAUAACGUCGCAAGACCAAAG